AAGUCGUAACAAGGUUUCCGUAGGUGAACCUGCGGAAGGAUCAUUAACAUUUUUACUCUUUUUGGGUUUAGUUUGUGUGUUUGUUUUUAUUAACAGAUGUACAUUCUACUCUCAUUUCACCCCAAAUGUGCAUUGUGUUGUGCUUUUUGAGUCAAAUCAAAAGCACUUCUUUUUUAUCUAUCUAUACUAAAUAAACCCCUUUUUAUUACUUCUAGACUGACUUUAAACCACUUGAUUCGUACACUUCAUACUGUACGAUGACCAAUCAUAAUACAACUCUUAGCAACGGAUAUCUAGGCUCUC
This 303-nucleotide unclassified non-coding RNA is filed under the name fungal sp. RNAcentral's name for it is "partial internal transcribed spacer region". The stretch from base 1 to 46 matches the Rfam family "Eukaryotic small subunit ribosomal RNA", at positions 1786 to 1831 of the family's 1831-position model. Lineage: Eukaryota; Fungi. The record is from RNAcentral.